AUUUAAGCUAAAAAAGAGAAAAUACAACAUAAAGAAAAAUUUCUGUUUUAUCUGUGUGUGAGUGUGUGAAUAUGUGCACCAUGUGCAUGAAGGAGCCCAAGCAGGCCAGAAAGGGCAGAGAAUCUGUGUGAGCAUGUGUGUGUGAGCAGAGAAUCUGUGUGAGCAUGUGUGUGUGUGAGCAUGUGUGUGUGUGUGUGUGUGUGUGUGUGUGUGUGUGUAUGUGAAUAUGUGCACCAUGUGCAUGAAGGGGCCCAAUCGGGUCAGAAGGGCGCGCAGGGCCUCUCUGGACUGCAGUACUGGCAGUUAUGUGGUUUUCACCAAGAGGUCAUCUUUUCAGUCUUUUUUUUUUUAAAGUCUCUUUUUAAAAGACAAACUUGUGAUCCUCCUCCCUCUGCCUCCUGAGGGCUGGAAUGAAAGGUAUAUUACAAAACCUGGUUCUGUAUACUUAAGUAAUUUCAUUCUUCUUCCAACAAGACAACACAAAACCAACAGAGGCCAGGCCUGUUCUCUCUUGUGGUUCAGCACACAGGAGGCUGAGACAGACCCCAUCUUAAAACUUCCACCACCAAAAAUUUGGGACUCUUUUUCCUUUCUGGUUUGUUUUUUAACUCAUGUUCAAGCCACUUUUAAAAUAAUUACUGUGGCCGGCUGGCUAAUGACUCCCAAAAGGUUUCUAUAUCCAAAUCCCCACAAUCUGUAAAUGGGCCUUAUGCAGUCAAAAGGAUCUUGCAGAUGUGAUUCACUUAGAAGAGGAGGUCAUUCUGGUGCACCUUAAGUCUUAUUUAUUUUUAUUCUAUAUAUUUUAUGUAUAUGAGUACACUGUCAGGGUCUUCACAGCAGAAGAGGGUGCCAGAUCCCAUUACAGAUUCUGGAGGGAAGAUACUGGCUCUCAGGGCAGCCAUGCUGAUUUCUCACCUCUCCUCUAGAACUAUGGAAACCGCUCUUGAUUUAGCACAUUUGAGGUGAUCUUUUUUAAUAACACCCAAAGCAAACUAGUACAUUAAUCAUAUAGUUUUGAGACUAACUUUACCUAUAUUUUGUUCUUUGUGCAGGCCUGCAGGAGCUGGGGUCGGGUGUCAUGGUUGAUCCUUGCACAAGGUUAAGUGUAGCACUGAGCUACACUCCCAGCUCACAUUUCCUCAUCUGUUCUGUUUUUACCGCCCACAUGAGCAUUUCCUAAACACAACUGAUCAAAACCAACUUGGUACCAGGGGUGCUGGUGCACACCUGAAAUUCCAGACACAAGGUACAUAGGAGUGUACACAAUGACCAUGGGCCAGCCUGAGUGUACACCAGGACCCUGCCUCAGAAGGCAAAGAUUACUCCAGAUUACAGGUUUUUUCUUCAACUUCCUCAUCUUUCUAUACCAAAUACAAUGCCUGCCCCCACCCCACCCCCACCAAUGGCACAACACUUGGCUUUUCCUUGUUUGUUAUCUGAGCUAAAACCUUUCCAGUCCUGGUUGACCUUGAGUUCAAGGGCUCCUGAGGGCUGGGAUUCACAGGUUCUAUGGAAUUAUAGGCAACCACCACCAUGCCCCAAUUGUCUUUUGGAUUCUUCUAUCUUUAUAAAUAUCCCACACAAUGAACUUUUAUUUAGUCCAGUGGUUCUCAACCUUCUUAAUGCUGCCACCCUUUAAUAUAGAUCAUCAUGUUGCCGUGAUCCUCACCUAUAAAAUUGUUUACAUAGCUACUUCGUAACUUUAAUUUUCCUGGUGUUAUGAACCAUAAUGUAACUAUGUUUUCCAAUUGUCUUAAGCAACCCCUGUGAAAGGGCUGUCUAGCCCCCAAAGGGCUCAAAACCCACAGGUUGAGAACUGCUGACUUAGUCCUUGAUUAUAACUUGUAGAUAUGAUUUACAUAUAAUAUGCAAGUCUUAACAAUCACAUGCACCUUCCACAUGUUCAGAAGCUGCACACAAGAACCAAAGGCAGAAAAGUAAGUUUGUUAAAGGGAUGCAGAGGAACUCCAAAAGAGCAUGUGUUAUGUGCCGUUAAAGACAAGUGCCAAUGUCAAGUGUCACCCUCUGUCACGCUGCAACAUCUAUAUUUGUUUUAUUUUUCUAAUUUUUUUUUGAGAUAAGCUAUCAACUGUGUAGCCCUGGUCAUAUUAGAAUUUGCAAACACAGAUAAGAUAGCUUGUUCCUCUUAAGUACUAGGAUUAAAGGAGUAUGACACCAUGCCCAGCUGAUACUAUCUUUUGAGACAGAGUCUCUCAUCAAACCUGAAGCUGACUGAUUGGUCACCCACCUCCUGGGACCUGCCUUUACCCAUGUCCUCAGUACUGGAAUCAGAAGUAUACACUGCCAUGUUCAACUUUCUUUUUCAGCAGGUUCUGGAGGUCUGUACGGUUUUUACCCAGUGAAGCAUCUCUUCAUCAGCCUGUUUUAUGUAUAUUGGUUGAUUUACCUAUAUGUAUGUCUGUGUAGGUGUCAGAUCCUUUAGAACUGGAGUUACAGACAGGUAUGAGCUCUCAUAUGGGUGCUGGGAAUUGAACCUGGACCUUCCGAAAGAGCAGUCAGUGCUCUUUUUUUAAAAAAUAUUUUAUUUAUUUAAUGGAUAUGAAUACAUUGUAGCUGUCUUGAGAUACACCAGAAUCUGUUACAGAUGGUUGUGAACCACCAUGUGGUUGCUGGGAAUUGAACUCAGGACCUCUGAAAGAGCAGCUAGUGCUCUUAACCACUCAGCCAUCUCUCUAGUCCUGAGAACUAGCUCUUAGCUUCCUAACUUUUCUGUUACUUCUCUUUCCACACCUUAUUAAAGUAUAUUAUACACUUUACAUAAUACCUUAAAAGUUAUUAAUGCAAUCUACCAUGUCUUUUUCACUUUAAAAACUGAGUCACCACAAUGUUCCAAAAAUAAAAUCUAGCUCUACAGCUGACUUUAGGAAGUACACACCAAACAGGCAGUGGUGACACACGCCUUUAACCUCAGCACUCCAGGGGUUGGGGAUUUAGCUCAGUGGUAGAGCGCUUGCCUAGCAAGCACAAGGCCCUGGGUUCAGUCCCCAGCUCCAGAAAAAAAGAAAAAAGAAAAAAGAAAAAAAAAAAAAAAAAAAAAAAAAAAAAACAAAAAAAACAAAAAACCUCAGCACUCCAGAAGCAGGCAGAUCUCUGAGUUCAAGGCCAGCCUGAUCCAGAGAAACCCUGUCUUAAAAAAAAAAAAAAGUGGACAUAAAAGAUUAUUUUAUUUGACAGUAAGUUGCACUUCAUACUAUAUAUACAUAAGACUUUUCAAGACUUGUUUAUAAUAACCAACAUAUACAGUGAAGAAGCCAGUCUCUAAAAUGAAAUCCCUCUGCUUCCUUAUCUCAAGUGGUACUGUAUCACAUCAGCACAAAAUUCCACUGAAAGUUAUUUUGCUAUAUUGUUUCAGUGCUUUUUUUCCCCCCUUCUGGUUUUGAAACAGGGUUUCUAUGUAUAGCCCUGGCUGUCCUGGAACUCUCUUUAUAGACCAAGAUGUUCUUGUCCUCACAGAGAUCUGCCUGCCUCUGUUUCCAGAUUAAAGGUGUGUGUCACCACCUCUGGGUGUUUAGUGAGCAUUUUUAUAUUUCAACACACUUGAAAUAGAUCUUUCUGUUAACUAUACUUCUUGGUAUUACACAGAAAAUAUUUUUAAUCGCCUUCACUAGGCAUCAUAAAACAUUAUAUUAUAAAUCUAUCAAUCACAUAAAUGAUAUAGAUUUCCCAGGUAGACUCUGUUUUCAUUCUGGAAAAAAAAAAAGGCCAGUAACUUUAGAAGGUUUUAAUAAGGGAAAGACUUAAUGUAGACAUCCUAUGAUCAUGAACAUUUAAUCAAAUUUCUGCAACUAGUUAGCUCAGCUUGAGGAAAUUUCUAACUAGACUUUAACUGGUUUUAUCUUUAUUUGGACAAGUAAAGUUUGUACUUUAGAAAGAGUGGGUUAAACAUUCAUGUUGUUCUUCCUAAGAGAGACAGGGACACAAAUGUUAAGCAACAAAAAAGUACAGAAUCAUUAAAAAUAACUUAAAAAGCCAGAGAAGGGGUGCACCACUUUAAUUCUAGGGCCGGAGGCAGCGCCAGACAGCUCUCUGGGAAUUUGAGGCCAGACUGGUGUAUAUAGCAAGCUCUGACUCAAAAAAGAAAUACAUAUAAAUAAAUAAAAUAGAAAUUUAAAGAUUUCGGGAUGGAGAGAUGGCUCGGCCGUUUAACAGUACUUGCUGUUUUCCCACAGGCUGGAGGACAGACAUUUGAUUUAUAGCACACACACAGUGGCUCAUAACUCUUCCAGCUCCAGAGGAUCUAACACCUUUUUCAGGCUUUUAAGGGUACAUGCACUGCAAACACGUACACACACACACACACACAUACUUAAAAAUAAAUAAAUCUUAUAAUGAUGAUAAUCACUUAGAGACCUCUAAGUCAGGUGUGGUAGUGCACUUGGGAGGUGGAAUCCCUUGGGUUAGAAGUUCAAGGUCAUCUUUAUCUGUACAGGAAGCUGAAGCCAACCUAUGCUGUGAAGACCUAGGCUCUAAGCACCAGAACACAAAAAGAAAAAGAUGCUGAUCAGUUGCUGGGAAGUUAAUUCUCCACUUACAGCUACUUAAACAAACGGCAUUUUCAGGGUGGUGGGAUGGCUCAGCUGGUAGAUGUGCUUGCUGUCAAGCCUGAGGACCCGAGUCUGAUCCCUAGACCCCACCGGAAGGAGAGUUAUUUAUCAUAUACAUGUGUACAGACAUGAGAUAAAUAAAUAUUAAAAAAUUAAUCAGUUUCUUUUGCUAGAAAAGCAUUAGCAUUAGUAAAUUGUAGAGAUGGAUGAGAAAUAACAAUUAUUGAAUCUCCUGAUGGUUUCUUGCUUCUGUUUUGCCCUUCAGUAACAUGUUCCUUAUAGACCCACUGCUACAAUCUCAUCACACUAGAUAUUAUUCCUGAGUUCAAAAAGGUUUCCACUUGGAAAAGCCAAAGUCACUACAGCAGCCCACCAGGAUGUCUAAUCCACUAUGACUCUGGCUCACUUCAGCCCUGCCAUGGGUCUUGUCACCUCUAGAACAUACAAUCAAACUGCCAUUUCAGAAGUCUCUACACCAUACCACAAGGGAACUCAAUGCUUUGUAUUCUAAGUAAAACAAAUCCCAGCCCUCAAGAGAAUUGCUGAGUUUGAGGCUAGUCUAGGCUAUACAACAAAAACUAAAGGAAACUAAGCUGACCAUUGCGGACAUGCCAUUAACCCCAGUACUCCAAAGACAGGCGGGCGGAUCUCCAAGUCAGAGGAAGCCUGGGCUACGUAGUAAGACCGUGUCUCAAAAUCAAAGUUAAAAAUAAAAUAAAAAUAUUUAAAGGGGGUGGGGGAGCUAAAUUCAUGAGCAAGACUGCUAAAUGUUCCAGAAUUAAAACUUUCUUUCCAAGGCUUACAGGACGAUUCAGAGGGUAUAAAAGCUUGGCACCAAGCCUAAGCCCGAUGACCAAGUUCUAUUGCUCAAUCCCAUUUACACCCAGGGGAAGGACAGAAUCAACUCCAGCACGGUGUUUCCUGACUAUCACUACUACCAGGUCUCAUACAUGUACACACACACACACACACACACACACACACACACACACACACACACACACACACACAGAGUAAAUGUAUUUUUUAAAUAUAUUUCCUUUUACUAUAUUUUAUUUGUGUGUGCAUGUGUUUUGUAUGUGUAUGUACAUGCAUACCAUGCAUACAUAGUCCUCUCCUUCCUUGUUGGUCCUGGAUUGAAUUCAGGUCAUAAGGUUUAGUAGCAAACACCUUUAUUUGCUGAACCAUAUUGCUAGGCCCUAAAAUUGCCUUAUAUUUUCUGGCUAAAGAGAUGGAUCAGCAGUUAACUGCACUUGCUGUUCUUGGACCCAGGUCCAGUUCCCAGAACCUACAUGACCACUUACAACUGCCCUUAACUCCAGUUCCAAGUGUCUGCCACUUUCUUCCUGCCUCUAUAGGUACCAGCAUGCACAAAAUACACUUACAUACAUGAACAAAAUACUUAUUCAUACACAUUAAAUAAAAAAUAAAUCCAUAAACCUGGCAGUGGUAGUGCAUGCCUUUGAUACCAGCACUUGGGAGGAACAGACAGGCAGAUCUCUGUGAGUUUAAGGUCAGCCUGAUCUACAGAGCUGGUUCUAGGACAACCAAGGCUACACAUUAAAAAAAAAAAAACAAAAACAACAACAACAACAACAACAAAAAACAAAUAAAACCUGUCUUGAAAAAACAAAAAUGAAUAAAUUAAAAAAACUUUAUUAGAAAAUUAAAUUUCUUUAAUAGAAAAUUAAACUAGGGGCUGGGGAGAUGGUUCAGUGUUUAGGAGCACUGGCUGCUCUUCCAGAUGUCCUGAGUUCAAAUCCCAGCAACCACAUGUGGCUCACAACCAUCUGUAAUAGGAUCUGCUGUCCUUUUCUGGCAUGCAGGCAUAUAUGUAGACAGAGAACUCACAGGCAAAGAUGGAUGGAUGGGCGGGCAGAUAAAUAGGCCAACUGCUGGUGGCACAUGCCUUUAAUCCUAGCACUUGGGAAGCAGAGGCACAUGGACCAUGUGAGUCCAGCCUAAUCUAUGUGACACACUUCAGGAUAGCCAAAUCUCCAUAGUGAGACCCUGUUUUAAAAAACCAUCAAAUAAGGGGCUGGAGAGAUGGCUCAGUGGUUAAGAGCACUGACUGCUCUUCCAGAGGUCCUGAGUUCAACUCCUAGCAACCACAUGGUGGCUCACAACCAUCUGUAAUGGGACCUGAUUCCCUCUUCUGCUGUGUCUGAAGACUGCUACAGUGUACUCAUAUACAUGAAAUAAAUAAAAAAUAAAUCUUCAAGUUGUAGCUUUAUAAAAAAUAAAAAGAAAGAAAACCCUCAAAUAAAGAAAUGAAAUAGAAAUCACCUUGUAUAUGAAAGGAGGAGGGACUAGUUGAAAAGAGGAAAGCGGUACUGGGAGUUGAGUAGGGGUACAAGAGAGGAUGGCUAAUUGUGAGUAUGCUCAAAGUACGUUACAUAUAUGUAUCAAAAUAUUAUAAAGUGAGCCAAAGAGACGGCUCGGUAGAUAAGGGCCCUUGUUACCAAGCAUGAUGACCUGAGUUUGGUUCUUAGUACCUACCUACAUAGAUAGCAGAAAGAGAAAAGUGGUCCUGCACGUUAUUCUUUAUCUCCAAUUGAAUACUGUGCAUGACAUGCCCUUUUACUUCCUUACACACAAAAUAAACAAAUAUAAUCUUUUUUAAAAAAGAAAAAAAUGACAUAAUGAAACGUAUUGUGUAUGCUAAUAGAAAUCUUUUUCAUAUAUCGCAUAUCAAUCUGACCAUACUUUCUGUAUACAUUAUGGUCAUGUAGCUGAGUUUUUACAUGUACUGUUUUUACAAAGAUCAGGUUGCCGACAUUUGUUAGCAUUAAGUGAGCAUCAUAAUUAUCCCAAGCUGAAUUUCAAUCAAGUGCAUGCACAGAACAGACUAGAAUGUGUGCUAAUUUUAGUUAUGUAUGUUUAACUUUUACAAAAUAAAGUGAUUUUAAAACAAAUAAAAAUAGGGCUGGAGAGACGUCUUAGUUGUUAACAUUCACAGCUCUUGAAAAAUCCCCAAGUCCAGUUCUCAACACACAGGUCAGGAGGCUCACAACUGUCUCCCCCUCUAACUCCAGGGGAUUCUAGAAUGCUCUUACAGCCUCAUGUGUUCAUCAUGGGCUCUUUGUGUACAAAGAUAUACAUACAAACAUGUAACUAAUAUAACCAAAAUAAACCUUGCCUGGAACUCACUGCCUUCUCCAUCCCAGGGCUCCUUCAGCCUUAGCUCCGCUCUUCCCAUACCUCAGCUGCUGUAUUCCAAUUUCCUAUUAACUGCUUUGGCUGCUUUUCUGAAAGGAGGCAUCAAUCCACUCUCUAUGUCAGGAGUAAGCUACAACACUGGCAGCGUCUGAACACCACAACCAAUGCCUCAAGCAGGUCAGGCGCCCCACGGGGAACUCACAUGCACACUAUCCAUCUUCAGCUCUCCUCCCUUCCCUCUCUCAGAUUCUACAAUAUUCCUCAUCAAUAUUCAGGAAUUAGCUCAUUUUGGUGGCAACAAAAAGGUUAGCAGUCCAUACACUAGAGCUCAAUAGUGUGUUUGACUACAGCUCCUAGUAGUUAUAUAUGACCACAACCAGUUCUUCAAUCUUUCUGAAUCUGUGUAGAUGUAUAAACACUGUACAGGCACAUGAAUAAAGCAAAUAUUUGUUUCAGAUUUUUUUUUCUUUUUUUCGGAGCUGGGGACCGAACCCAGGGCCUUGCGCUCGCUAGGCAAGCGCUCUACCACUGAGCUAAAUCCCCAACCCCUUGUUUCAGAUUUUAAAAGAAUUUAUGUGAGGAGACAGGCAGACAGGGCUUGUGUGGGUGGGAGAAGUAUGGGCUGGCCAGCCACAAAGGGUUGUCAACAGUGAUAAAUAGAGCUGAAGGUGUCUGGACUUUACUCCAAAAGAAAUGGACAGGGCAGUCCUUUCGGAAAGUGAAGCGAUUUAAUGAUUUAAUUACGAAAUGGUGAGAAAACAAUUGAGGGAGAAUGGAAACCAGAAGGGUGGAGGAGCAGCAGUGAACGCUGCUACGUCCCAGAGAAACACCAAGCGUGCAGAAGAGAAAGACAGGGAGGGCCAAUGGGAUGUCAGGGGAUGAAGGCACUUGCCACUUGUGCUGGGUUUUGUCAACACAGAUUAGGAAACGAGCAAACUUAAGUGAGGGACUGACUUUAUCAGACUAGCCCACAGUAGGUAGUGCCAACCUGCUCAGGUGAACCUGGGUGCUUAAGUAAAGCGGCUGAACAGGCCAGCAAGCAGCAUUCCUCUUCCUCUUCCUCUUCCUCUUCCUCCUCGACUCUGCUUCAGUUCCUGCCUUGAGCUCCUGCCCUGGCUUCCCUCACUGAUGGACUAUAUAACCUGUAAGCCAUAUAAAGCCUCUCCUUCCCAGGGUGGUUCUGAUGAGUGCUGUAUCCCAACAGAGAGCAAACCAGAACACCAUUCAACAAUGAGAGCCUAUGUAAAGGAGGAAAGAACCAAUUUCAUGAAGCUGCCCUCUGACCUCCACACAUCAAUUAACAAUAAAUAAAAGUUUUAGAAACUUAAAAAAAAAAUACAGCAAAUAUUCCCAAGGUGAAAUUAAACUGGUCUCCAUGACUGUUCUGAUCUGAGGAUCUGUGUGUGACUGAGAGUUCUUUACACAGCUGGAGUAUGACAUCACUAAGACAGGGAGUCCAGAAGAUGAAGUUGCCCCACCCACUAAGGUUGUUUUUUAAAACAGCGUGCCAUUUAGAAUUGAAAGCACAUGCUAAGAGAAUUAGGCCAUCACUCUGACAUGCAUUGCACAUCAAAACAUAGUGAUGUUCCAGUUCAAAGGACUCAUCUGUUUAUUAAAUGAUGUGUUACCGUCCUUCAUUUCUGUAUGUGGCUCCUGAAGAGGUGGAGCUAAAGAAAACAAGACUUAGCUGUACUGUGAUGCUGAGUGAGGUUUUGUUGUUGUUUUUUUUUAGCUUUUUGAGGGUAGGGAAGCACACCAAGAUAGGGUCUCAUCCCUCUGCCUCAGUUCUCUCAAUAACAUGCAUUACUGGUAUAUGCCAUCAAAUACACUAUUUUAAGCCUUCUUUUUAGUCGCCAUAAAACAUUUUCCUUUUGUCCUCAGAGCCUGUCCUGAUAAAAAUACCAUGAUGAAACCCUGUGUCUGCUUUAAAAGAUUUCCUUUAAAAUAUUGGCUUUACUUUUACCUGCUCAUUAUUCUAUAUGCCUGUGUUAUUUCUGAAUCUUUAAUGUCUCUUUUUGCAACCUAGAUCAGACACUCACUUUAUACUUUUCUCUCAGUCUCUGUUUCAAAAGCUGGAGGUGACAGUCCUAGUGCUUGGGAAGGGGAGGAGGAAAACCAGGGACUUGGAGCUACACAGGGAACCCUAUGUAAAGAACAAAACAAAGGAAAGAGGGGUAGGAGAAAGGUUGGUGCAAUGACUCAGUGGGUGAAGGAGUCUGAGAAUGUGGGUUCCCACAUGGUAGGAGAGAACCAACACCCACUAGUGAUCCUUUGUCCUUAAAUGCACACCCCCCCCACCCAAAUAAACAAGUACAAUGAGAAGGGGGGGGGGAGUCCCUUUUCUAUAGACUGAGCAAAAUGAUCUAAAGCAGUGGUUCUCAGCCUUCCUAACACUGCGACCCUUUAAUAUAGUUCUUCCUGUUGGGUGGUCACCUCUAACCAAAGUUAUUUUGUUGCUAUUUCAUAACUGUAACUUUGCUACUGUUAUGAAUUGUAAUGUAAAUAUCUGUUUUCUGAUGGUCUUAGGUGACCUCUGUGAAAGGGUUCUUACACUUCCCACAAAGGAGUCACAACCUACUGGUUGAAAACUACUGAUCUGAAGUCUCAAUGAAAAUUGCAAUGCUUUAAACUCUGACUACUGGGAUCUACUUCUAACAGACAGACAUGACAUAUGCAAAUUCAAACAGGCCAGACAUUUCUAUUCCUAAAAUGAGGAAAUAGCAAACUCAAUGUGCAACAAUAAUCAAACUUCAGUGAACAAGAAACUUCAUGGGUUGCUGGAGGCAGAGAGAAAGAGCUCAGUAAGGGAACUGUGUGCUGUGCAGGCCUGCUGACCCGAGUUUGGGCUCAGGGACCCACUGUCUAUCACAGAACUGACUCCUGAAGGUUGUCUUCUGACCUCUGUACAUUGGGCUGGAGGGAUGGCUGUGUGGUUGUGAUGUCUGCAGCCCUUCCAGGAGACCUGUGCUUGGUUCACACUGCUUGUGCCGUGCUGCUACCACCUCUCACACACUCACUCUUCCCAAAUAAAUGUAAAAGGAGAGAAAAACUAGGCUUCAGAUAUUGACUGAAAGGUCUGCACAGUGCGUAACAUAACAUCCAGUCGUAACUGCUGACUCACCAGUUCCACAGCCCCACAGUAAGGAAGAACUGGACAGUGAGUACAGCCACCCCUACAUCCUAACACCCUAAACAUUUCUUUUUAGAGAUCCAGUGUUUCUUUUUCUCCUUUUCUUUCUUUCUUUUUUUUUUUUAAACAUUUUACUUUUUUUCCCGUGAGGGAUGAGGCAAGCCACUGAAUGCAUGUGGAGGUCAGUAACUGGGCAACUUGUGAGAACUGGUUUUCUCUCCAUCAUCUGCAUCCCUGGACUGAACUCAGGCCUUCCGCCUCGGUGUGUGGAACCAUGCUUACAGUAUACAAUUUCUAACUCAUGAUGCCUUUUUCCACUUAGGGGAGGGGAGCUCAAACGCAGUCACAGAACUGUGCAGAGCCAGCUGCCCGACUGGGUUAUACCUCCAGCCUCUGUUCUGUUUGUGUUUGUUCCACUUAGAGUAUGCCUCCUUGGAACGCCUUCCACUCUCUGGAGUCUUUCUCACUUUUCCUUAAUAAAUUGACAUUUGCUCUACUAAAAAUAGAUAACUUUUUCAUUUACAACGUUCCACAAUUACCCCCACCCCAACAGCUCUGCUCUUUGUUUUCUCUCCAAUUUUGUGACAUGUAAAAAGUUCCCAGACUUAUCACUUUUCAUUUACAACGUUCCACAGUUACCCCCACCCCGGACAGCUCUGCUCUGUUUUCUCUCCAAUUUUGUGACAUGUAAAAAGUCCCCAGACUUAUCACUGAAGAACUUUCAGUUCCAUACACAAAGGCAAAAGCCACCAACACAAGCUAUGAAUUAGAAAACACUCCACUUCUCAUAUCAUUAAUGUAAAAAAUAUUUAAAACAUUAACACUUUAGCUGGGCUGUGGUGGUGCAGGCCUUUAACCCCAACAGAGACAGGCAGAUCUCUGAGUUUGAGGCCAAUCUGGUCUACAGAGGGAGCUCCAGGAUGGCUGGGGCCACACAGAGAAACCCUGUCUUGAAAAACCAAAACCAAACAAAAUUAACACUUGAACAAUUCUUGUUUGCUUUUUAUUUAUUUAUUUAUUUAUUUUUUGGUUCUUUUUUUGUUGUUCUUUUUUUCAGAGCUGGGGACCGAACCCAGGGCCUUGCGCUUCCUAGGCAAGCGCUCUACCACUGAGCUAAAUCCCCAACCCCCGAGACAACAUGUUUUUAGAACCAUCAAUUUAACCGAACUAAAACUAAUCUCAUUUCAUCAAUAACUGCUAGUUUCUUCUAUUUUAUUUCCAGUAUCAAGGAUCGAGGCCAAGGUCUUACACACACCACUGAUUUUCAAUACAACUGCUUUUCCCUUAAAAUCCAAACUAUGCCAAGCAGUGGCUCAUGCCUUUAACAUUAGUACUGAGGAGGCAGGGGCAUGCAAACAUCUAUCAGUUCCUGGCCAGUCAUAGCUACAAAGAGGGACCCUGUCUCAAAAAACAAACCAACUAAUUCUGUCUUAUCCAAAAAUCACACACAGACACACAUACACACACACACAUACACACACACACACACACACACACAGAUGCACACACACACAUACAUUUGUUUUGUAAUUAAUGCACACAAACAUUGUUUUGUAAUUAAUGCACACAAACAUUGUUUUGUAGUUAAUGCACACAAACAUUGUUUUGUAGUUAACUAGAAGUUUUAGAAACCAGAAAUCAUAUGGUGCUGCUAUGUAAACCGAGGGAGUUAAUUUAAUCAUUUACAAAAGCAUCUGGCUGCUCUCAAGUCCACCUUGAUGAGUCUAUAUCCACACAAGUCUUGUCUUUCUUUCUGAGAGAAUGACUCUUUCCUAGCCCUCAUGCUUGAAGCCUGUAUUAAAUAUCUUUAUUAAACCCCAACCUUGGCCAAGAUGGCUUUAGUAAAAGUAAAGUGCUUGCUGACAACCUGAGUUCAAUCCCAGAACCCAUGUAAAAGUGGAAGGACAGUUGUUCUCUGCAAUGGAAUACAGAAAAGCAGGAGCUCACACUCUGUUAGAAAAAGCAGAAAGGAAGAAGGAAAUGGAUCAGCAGUAGUAUGUGCCUCUCUAUGAUACUAACUUUUAAAAACUCUGCUUCAGGGGCUGGUGAGAUGACUUCAGUAGUUAGAGCACACUGCUCUACAGACCUGAAUUCAGUUCCCAGCAUCCACACAGACUGCUCUCAACCACGUGUAACUCCAGCGUCUGGGAUCUGACACUGUCUAGCCUCUACAGCACACAGUUCACAGAGCUGCAUCUACCCACUACUCAGUCAAAGAAUUAAUCACGAACCAACAACAUCCUUCAAUGUUUAUCAUCUAUCCCAAACCCACCCACUAACACCUGCACCUCUCACAUUAUUUACGAUGGAUAAGUAAAAGCAAAAGGAAAACCGGGCUGGGUGACACCUAUCAUCUACACUUGGGAGGCAGGAAACUUGUACAAGGAAACUUGUCUCAAAAAAAAAAAAAAAAAAAAAAAAAGCCUAACAAAGUGUGAGCUGUUAAUGGUAACAAUGAAACUUUGCUUAGUGACAGUGAUACAGUAUUUUUCAGUCUUGCACCUGUACAAGGUUUACAUGUUACCCUUCACUAAGGCUUGGGGGACGAACUUGCAGGGAGAAAUCAGACCUUUAAAUAAGAGGCAGGAAGAGGGAAGGGGGGGGGGAGGGAGUGGUCAGAGGAUACAACUUCCAGUUUUAAGUUCUGGAUACUUAAUGUACAGUGGAGUUAUUAAUAAUAAUGUAUACUUGAAACUGCCUGGAGUAAACCAAGUGUUCUCAUCAAAAAGAAAACGAAGGUACCUGAGUGAGGUCUAUCUAAUUAACUUGACAAUGGUAAUUAUUUCACAACCUCUACAUGUAUCCAAAUAUCAAGCUGUAUAUCUUUACGUAAAUUAUUAUUUUGUAAGUCAUACCUUAAUAGGGCUAGUGAUGGGAAACAAUACCGAGAGAACCCUGAAAAGGAUGGGGGUUGAGGGAUAUACUGGGAAAAAGUAAAGAUACCAAAGGCUAUCAGUUCUUUGCAAAAUCUUUUAGGGCACAACUGAGAUUUGCUGACUGAAAAAAAAAAUCACUACAAAAGAAUAAAUUUAGACCAAAUCCAUAACCAUUCAACAGAGAAAGGAGAAACGAGGUCCCAGAAAGCCACAGAAAGAUUUUGACGGUACCACCGGGAAGAUCUGAAAAUGGGUUUCCUGACCCAGAGAGUCAAGGAUGGGGGCGUUCCAACCCGGCCACCACCUUCGCCACCCCACCUGCAGCGAGGCCUGGAAAAAGCAAGCUCAGCACAGGGUUGGAUCGCCCGCCCAAGGCGAGAAAGCGGCCACGGGACCAGCGGAACCAAGAAGCGCCCGACCCCAGGGAAGAAGGGCUGCAGAAGGGCGGGGCGCGCGCCGCGGAGGUCGGAAGGGCGACUCAGGGCGGCAGCGCAGCCUGGGACCCCUCCUCAGGCCAAGGCGGGGGAGGGACCGAGGGUCCUAGACGACAGAAGACACAACUUACUCCGCGGUCUUCCUCCGAGAGGAAGUCGGGGCCGUCAUCCAGGCCUUCCUGCGGAGUCAGCGGGCCCAGCACACCGAAAGGGAGGAAGGGAAGGGAGAGACACAAGGAGAGAUAUUAGCGCCCAGUCCGCGCUGUCCCCGCGCCCGCCACCCCCACCGCGCGCCCCGAGUUCGGCGCCGCCGUGAACACCCACCAUCAUGGCUGCUUCGAGUCCAGGUCUCGCGCAGACUCACAAGCAAGGCCACGAACCGAGCCGGCCGCGCGGGUGGGGCUGAGGGCGGGGCCGAACGCCAGCCCCGCCCCCUGCCCGCUGCAAGAGGGGAGCUGUCCCUGAAGGGGAAAGGACGCAGGAUCCUUUGCUCCAGACUCUUCCUCGUAUCUACAAUAAGAACCUCCCCUCAACCAUGCCUUGGAGAGACCAUUGAAGUGGAAACCUAGGGGGUCUUUGGAAAGUCGAUUGGAUGGUGUUUUGCUGGGGCAAACACAUGAAGGAACGAUUCCUUAAAGUGGACACAGGUAUGAGAGACUAAGGCAGACUGGUGAAGGAACAUUUGGCUGAAGCACACACAGGACAGAGGAAUCUAAAGGAAACACGUGAAAGGGCAUGUGAUGAAAGGCUCUUGCUAAUGACACACAUGUAUUGGUCCACCUUACACUGCAUAGUUGAGCUGCUUUUGUCAGGGAUGCCAUAGAGAGAGAAACCCAUCAAGAAAACUUCUGGUGGUGUAUUACGGUUUGUUGUGGCUUCCAAGGACUGGGGCUGAUUGGAUGCGCAUGCUGAGGCAAGAACCAUGCUCAGGCACAGCACGUGGAGGACACGUGACAUUUAGAGAUUAUAAAUAAGACUCUAUGGAAUGAGAGAGUGCCCCUUGUGUACAUGUAUGAAAGGUAAAAGGUUGAAGGGUAUUAUCUUCCUCCACACGCUCUUCUUCAUUGCUAAAGACAGGGUCUCUCACUGAACCUGAAGUUUACCUAUUGGCUAGGCUGUCUGGCCAUCAAACCCCCUGACUCUCCUGUCUGUGCCUCCCCAGUCCUGGGUUAUAGGCUCAUGCUUCCACGUUCAUGGUCAUGUUUUCUUUUCUUUUUUUUUUUUUUUUGUUCUUUUUUUAGGAGCUGGGGACCGAACCCAGGGCCUUGCGCUUCCUAGGCAAGCACUCUACAACCCCCGGUCAUGUUUUCUUUUGUUUGUUUUUUUGUUUUUAAUGUAGCUGCUGGGGGUUUAAGUUCAGAUCAUGGGGUAGAGACUUGAGUUCAAAUCCAGGCAACCACAUGGUGACUCACAACCAUCUUUAAUGAGAUCUGAUGCCCUCUUCUGGUGUACACUAUAGCUGUCUUCACACACACCAGAAGAGUGCAUCGGAUCCCAAGACCUCUGGAAGAGCAGUCAGUGCUCUUAACCACUGAGCCAUCUCUCCAGCCCAAUAAAUAAAUCUUUAAAAAAAAAAAAAUCAGAUCCUGGAGUUUGCAUAGAAGCACUUUACCCUCCCAGUUGUCACUAUUCUGUAAUGGUCCAAACUGUUCACACUGCCAUUUUAAGCCCUCCCAGUUUGAAUACCUCCCCGUUCGCCGUGUCCUCCAUCCUGUCUCACAGAAAUGAAGCUCUUAAGAAAUGUGAAAUUUGCUAAUAAUUCCAUGCAGUUAUUUUGUGUGCCAGGAAAGCUGAGACAGGAGAGCUUUAGUUUCUGCUCCAACAAAGAUUACUCCCCAAAAUGGUGUGAAGAAGGACUUUACAUUUUUUGUCUUUUGUUUCUGUUGCCCCAGAGUACUGUAAUGGCUACUAAAGAGGUCUUUAAAAAAAUGUAUUGCUGGGCGGUGGUGGCACAUGCCUUUACUCAGAGGUAGAGGCAGGUGGAUCUCUGAGUUCAAGUCCAACCUGGUUCACAGUGUGAGUUCCAGGACAGCCAGGGCUACGCACAAAAAACUUGUCUUGAAAAACAAAGCCUCUGUCUGUUCGUGUGCACAUAGGCGUACGUGUGUGUAGGUCAAAAGACAACCUCAGGUGCUCUCCUUAGGAAGGUUGUUGCCUUUCUCUGACACAAGGUGUUUCACUUGGCUGAAGCUCACUAACUAGGCUGGACUCAUUUUAAACACUGGCAACACAAGCAUGUCGUGGCAUACACACAGGCAACGCCAUGUCUAGCAUUUUCCCACCGGUUCUAGGGAUGGAAUUCACUGGUUCGGAUCCACAGCCCCUAAAAUAGUCUUCUACACUUCGAGCCAUGAGGCAUCGUGCCAUAUCAAGUAGGUGUGAUAAAGUACCAGGAGAGAUGUUUUAAAUGCCAGCCAGGCAUUUGUAGUGGCUCACAUUGAUAAUCCCAAUACUUAGGAGGCUGAGGCAGGAGAAUUGCCAGACGUUGGAGGCCAGAUUAGGCUACAUUGUGAGUUCUGGGAGAGCAUGGGCUACAUGUGAAAACCCACCUCAAAAACAACACUAUAAUCCCAAACAGGUAGAGGUAGGAAGAUCAGGAACACAGGGUCUUCCCCAGCUGGAAAGGGAAUUUGAAACCAGCGAAAGCCACAUGGGAUCCUCCCACCCUUUCUCUAUCCCUCUCUCUGUUCCUGCUUCUCUCUCUCUCUCUCUCUCUCUCUCUCUCUCUCUCUCUCUCUCUCUCCACACACACACACACACACACACACACACACACACACACACACACACACCACACAUAAAAAAGGAGUCCUUACGUGACUUAUUAACAAAUAAGAAGAUGCUAAUUUGUUUCUGACUGAAGAUAAUGUGUCUGCCGUGACUAGGUUGAGAAAGAGGAGGGGAGCUGCAAUUAAUGAGCAGGACUUGUGCACAACUCAUAACAGAGUCAUGUUUGGCUGUGUAGAUGAAGGUUGAGAAGGAUCACACCGAAACACUUCAUUUCUUAUUUAUUACUAUUUGUGUGUGUGUGAUGUGAAUGAGUGUGGGUCGGCACAUGCCACGGUGUACAUGGGGAGGUCAGAGACAACUUUUGAGAAUUGUUUCUCUCUUCCCUCACCAUGUGUUCAACGUCUUGAACUGAAGUACUCAGCUCUUCACAUCACCUUUACCCACUGAGCCAUCUUGCGGGCCCUACCUCAGUCAUUACCCAAAAGUCUUAAAUGGCGUUUAAAUGAAGCCCAGAAACGGGGGCGGGGGGGGGGGGCCUGGGGAUUUAGCUCAGUGGUAGAGCACUUGCCUAGGAACCACAAGGCCCUGGAUUCGGUCCCCAGCUCCGAAAAAAAAAAAAGAACCAAAAAAAAAAAAAAGAAGAAGCCCAGAAACACUGUAAUCUUUAUAUACCAAAGGGUUAAAAUCCCUAUAAAAAACACACAGGAACGGGGCUGGGGAUUUAGCUCAGUGGUAGAGUGCUUACCUAGGAAGCGCAAGGUCCUGGGUUCGGUCCCCAGCUCCGGAAAAAAAAGAACAAAAAAAAAAAAAAAAAAAAAAAAAAACCACACAGGACAGGACUGAAAAUACAAGUAGCACAAGUUAAAUGACCAGCAAAGACCUAUGGUACUGACUGCAGCUGAAUUCCACAGCAGAAAACUCGUGUGCAUAAAGAAUCUGCCCUUGGAACAAUAAGGUUGUUAAUACCUAAGCUUUCCCUUCUGCGCAAAGGUCACAAGCAAUAUUCUGUGAGAGAUUUAAAAAGUAAUUAUCAGCAGAGCAUGGAGGCACACACCUUUAAUCUCAGCACUGGAAGCCAGAAGCAGGUGGGUCUCUUCAAAUUCAAGGUCAGUCUUAUCUACAUAGUAAAUUCCAGGAUAGGCAGAGCUCCAUAGAGAGAGACUAUCUCAAAAACCAAAAACAUAGGGUUGGGGAUUUAGCUCAGUGGUAGAGUGCUUGCCUAGGAAGCACAAGACCCUGGGUUCGGUCCCCAGCUCCGAAAAAAAAACAAAAACAAAAAAAAAAACAAAAACGUAAGUAUCGGUAACUGAUAGUAAACAACCCUCCAAAAGCUAUCAAAGUUGAGGAGAGGCCUGGAGAGGUGGUUCCAGGGCCAAAAGCAUGGGCUGCUCUACAAAGCACUCAUUUCUUGUAACUCCAGCUCCUGGGGCGUGCUGUCUUUCCAGCUUCCAUAGGCUCCAUGGCAUUUACACACCCAUAUACUCAAAUUUAAAACUAACUAAAAAUAAUUUCGGCCAGCCUGGUCUACAGAAUGAGUUCCAGGGCAACCAGGGCUACACAGAAAUUCAGUCUCCACCAGCCAACCAACCAACCAAACAAAUCUUUUUUCAAACUUUAAGAAUGGGUUUGGGGAAUGGCUUGGUGAAUAAGAGCAUUUGUUUUACAACUAUGAGGCCCUAAGUUUGAAUACCUAGCACCCACAUAAAAACACCAAACAAGGCUGUGUUUUCCUGUAACCCCAACACUAGGAGAUAGACCGACCCUGCGAGUUGACUGGCUGGCCAGCCUAGCUGAACUGUUGAGCUUCCCGUUCAUCAAGAGAGCCUAUCUCAAGCAGUAUGGUGGAAAGUGAUAGAAAAGGAACACAAGACAUCCUACUCUGACCUCUGAGUUCUCACUCAGGCUCGUGCACAUGUGAUCUCAUAUGUAUGCCUACAUACAACACACGCACACAUGUUAAGGAAUUUCUUUCUCUGCCUCACACAGCCCAGAUGGCCUCAAACUCUCUAUAUACCCCAAAAUGUCUUUUAAGUUCUGAUCUCGCUGCUUCCAGUUCUUAAGUGCUGGGAUUAUAGGCACGUGCCAUGGCACCUGGCUGUGAGCCUAUGCUUAAAAGACUUUGGAGGGGGUCGGCCAGAUACUCAGUGGAUUAAAGGUACUUGCCACCAUGCUUGACAACCUGAGCCCAAUCUCUAGAACCUACGUGGUAGAGAGAAUUAAUUUUUACAGUUGUCCUCUGACCUACUAAGUGCUCUAUGGCAAACACACACACACACACACACACACACACACACACACACACACACACACACCCCACAAUUAAGUAAAGUUUUGAAAAGUGGUGAGAUGGUUUGGUGGGUAAAGGAACUUGCCUCAACACCUUACGACCUGAAUUCAAUCCCUGGGACCCUCAUGGUGGCGAGAGAGAACCUAUCCUUGAAGCUGUGCUCAGACCUCCACACUCAGGCCACGGUGUGUGUAUCCACAUACAUAAACACACAUACACUAAAUAAUGUUUUAAAAGACCGUGUACGGCAAACGUGGUGGUGGCUUGAAUGAAAAUGACUCCCCAGACACAGGCAAAUGACUCCCUGAAGGCUUGUAUGUUUGAAUUGGCCCCCAACUGGUGGAGCUGUUUGGGAAAGAUUAGGAGGUGUGGCCUUGUUGGAGGUGUCUCUGGGAAUGGGCUCCUGUUCCCCAAGAGUCUCCAUUUUCAGUGUCUCACUGUCUCUGCUCCUACUUUCAGAUCAAGAUGUAAGCUCUCACCUGUUGCUGUCACCAUGCCUUUGCCUCUCCAUUAGGGACUCCUACCCUCUGAAGCACUUCCCAUUUGUAGGCUAAGAUCCUGGAGAUUCACUGCCCCAAGCUGAGGCUCUUCCUUGCCACAGGAGCACUUCGAGACUCGUGUCUUUCUCAGUCAACAUCAGAAGAGUGUCCUCCUGCAGUAGACGAGAACAAAUACAGAGACCCACAGCUGGACUAUGUGCAGAGAGUGAGAGAUUUUCCAACACUCAGUUCUAACUGGGAUGUCUUCAUCACAUUUCUCCCCGAAGGGCUCAGGGAACUCUGUGGAAGAGAUGGCAGAAAGAGACAAGGAAUGGAAGACACCAAGGAAACAAGGCCCUCUAAACACAGUAAGACUGGUACACACAUGAACUCACAGAGACUGUGGCAGCAUGCACAGGCCUACCUGGGUCUAAGCCCGAUGGGGUCCCAGGACCAAGAAGGGAAGUAAGCAGAAGCCCAUGUUCUUAACCCUCAGUACCCAACAAAACCCCAACCCCAACUGCCCCUCCUUCAUCACCAUAUCCCGGCCUACAUCUCCAGUGGCCUCCUAUCCCCUCAGAGGCCAGGCCAGAAUCCUGAAAACCAGGCAGAAAUCUCCUAUUCCACCAGAGAACAGGCCAGAAUCCUCAACUCCAGAGGACCCCCAGGGCCAUCAGAAGGCACACACAUCAACAGACCUUCAGACCCAAAUGUGGGGAGAAACCCCCUACUUAACAAGAGUCAUUCAGGCCAUAAGAAGUCCAGUUCCCAACUCAGGUGGAGAUCCUCUAUUCAACAACAGGCCACUCCAGCCAGAAGACCAGAUAGGAAACAGAAACCAAGGGAUAAAACACCCAUCCAACAGAGACAAGCCCAGAAAUCAGCACUUAGACCUACCUAUAAUCACUCCAAACCCACAUGCUUAAAAAUCAGUGUAAGAGUACAGAGGACCACAGCCAGGGCAGUGUGCCACUACUAGAGCCCAACCAUCCCACUACAGCAGGCCCUGUCUCCAACGCAGCUGAAGCAUCAGAAGACAACCUUAAGAUGGGCGUGGUGGCGCACGCAUUACUCCAGGCACUGGGGGCAGAGGCAGGUGGAUCUUGUAAGUUGGAGGCCAGCCUGUUCUACUAGAUGAGUUCCAGGACAGCCAGGGCUGUUAGAUAGAGAAACCCUGUCUUAAAAAAAAAAAAAAGAAAAGAAAAAAAAGGAAAAGAAAAUAACCUUAAAAUCAACUUUAUGAAGAUAAUGGAGGGGUUGGGGAUUUAGCUCAGUGGUAGAGCGCUUGACUAGCAAGCUCAAGGCCCUGGGUUCGGUCCUCAGCUCCAGACAAAAAAGAAAAAAAAAUGAAGAUAAUGGAGGUCCUUAAAGAAGAAGUUGAAGAAAUGACAAACAAUUGGAGGAAAUCAAUAAAUCCCUUAAAGAAAAAGCAAAUGGCUCAGGGAAAUGAAUAAAACUAUUCAAGGAAACUCAAACUGAAGGAAUCCUGGAGACAGAGAAUCUAGGUAAGUGAACAAGAACUAUAGACACAAGCAUUGUCAACAAAAUACAAGAGGUGGAAGAGAGACUCUCCAGCACUGAAGACACACUAGAAGAAAUAGAUACAUCAGUCAGAGACAUUGUUUUGUUUUGUUUUUUUCUUUUUUUUUUGGAGCUGGGGACCGAACCCAGGGCCUUGCGCUUGCUAGGCAAGCGCUCUGCCACUGAGCUAAAUCCCCAACCCCGAGACAUUGUUAAGUUUAAAAUACAAAACAAAUACAAAACAUUCAGGAAAUCUGGGACAUUAUAAAAACACAAAACCUAAGAAUAAUAGGAAUAGACAAGUCCCUGCUCAAGAAAAGGGGGGAGGGCCCUGCAGAGAUGGCUCAAAGGUUAAGAGCACUGAUUGUUCUUCAAAGGUCCUGAGUUCAAAUCCCAGCAACCACAUGGUGGCUCACAACCAUCUGUAAUAGGAUCUGAUGCCCUCUUCUUGUGUAUCUGAAGACAGCUACAGUGUACUUAUAUAUAAGAAAUAAAUAAAUUAAAAAAAGAAAGAAUCCCUGCUCAAAGGCCCAGAAAAUAUUUUUAACAAAAGCAUGGAAAAAUUUCCUAACAUAAAGAAGGACACGCCUAUAAUAAAGGUACAAGAAGCUUACAGAACACUAAUAGAUUGGACCAGAAAAGAAAAUCACUACAUAGUAAUAAUCUAAACCCUAAAUAUACCAAUCAAAGAAAGAAUAUUAACUGCAAGAGAAAAGGCCAAGGAACAUAAAAAAAGCAGACCUACUAGAAUUACACCUGACUUCUCAACGGAGGCUCUAAAAGCCAGAAGGGCCCGAGCAGAUGUGCUGUAGACUCUGAGAGACCUCUGAUGCCAGCCCAAACUACAAUAUCUACCAAACUUUUUUUUUUUUUUAAGAUUUCUUUAUUUUAUGUAUGUGAGCACACUGUGGCUGACUUCAGACACACCAGGAGAGGGCAUCAGAUCCCAUUACAGAUGCUUGUGAGCUACCAUGUGGUUGCUGGGAAUUGAACUCAGGACCUUUGGAAGAGAAAUUCAGUGCUCUUAACUGCUGAGCCAUCUCUCCAGUCCUCCCAUGCCCACCCCAGCAAACUUUUUAAUCACCAUAGGGAGAGAAAACAAGAUAUUCCAUGAUUAAGUUAAAUUUAAACAACAUUGGUCCACAAAUCUGCACCGUAGAAGGUACUAGAAGGAAAAUUCCAAUCCAAGGAGGUUAACUACAUCCACAACCACUAGAGACAAUAAUCGCAUAUAUCAAAACCCAAAGAAAGGAAACACACACACACACACACACACACACACACACACACACACACUACCAAUGACAACAAAAUAGCAGGAAUUAAUAGCCAUUGGUCUUUUAUAUCUCUCGACAUCAAUGGACUUAAUUCCCCAAUAAAAAGACACAGACUAACAGAAUGGAACUGAAAACAGAAACCAUCCUUCUGAUACAUACAAGAAACAGACCUUACCAUGAAAGAUACACAUUACCUCCAAGUAAAAGGUUGGAAAAAGAUUUCCCAAGCAACCCCAAGUAGCAAGCUAGUGUAGCCAUUUUAAUCUCUAACAAAAUAGACUUCCAACCAUAAUUAAUUUAAAAAUAUGGGGAAGGACACUUCAUACUCAUAGAAAAAAAAAAACCAACACCAAGAUGACAGCUUUAAGUCUUAACAUCUAUGCCGCAAAUGCAAGGGCACCACAACUGUGAAAGAAACACGACUAUAGGGGUUGGGGAUUUAGUUCAGUGGUAGAGCGCUUGCCUAGCAAGCGCAAGGCCCUGGGUUCGGUCCCCAGCUCUGAAAAAAAGAAAAAAGAGAAAAAAGAAAAAGAAAGAAAAGAAAGAAAGAAAGAAACACGACUAUAACUUCAGUCACACAUCGAUUCUCACACAGUGAUAGUGGGAGUGUUUGAUGACCAGUUCUCACCAAUAGAUAGGUCAUCUAGAAAAGAACUAAACAGAGAAAUGAUGGAGCUGACAGUUAUCUAUAGAACAUUUCACCCAAACACAAAA
Rattus norvegicus (Norway rat) is the source of this 23172-nucleotide non-coding RNA. The record is from RefSeq and is a predicted model, not a curated record. Lineage: Eukaryota; Metazoa; Chordata; Mammalia; Rodentia; Muridae.